GAUCCUGGCUCUGGACGAACGCUGGCGGCGUGCUUCAUACAUGCAAGUCGAACGCGAAUCGGUAGCUUGCUACCGAGGAAAGUGGCGGACGGGUGAGUAAUAUGUAGAGAAUCUGCCCUAGAGAGGGGGACAACAGCUGGAAACGGUUGCUAAUACCCCAUAUGAGCGUACCUGAAAUGGUAUUCUUGAAAACUCCGGUGCUCUAGGAUGAGUCUGCAUCUGAUUAGCUAGUUGGGGG
Molecule: ribosomal RNA, 238 nt
Filed under: uncultured bacterium
Lineage: Bacteria
Description: partial 16S ribosomal RNA
Rfam family: Bacterial small subunit ribosomal RNA
Source: RNAcentral